Molecule: ribosomal RNA, 301 nt
Filed under: uncultured bacterium
Lineage: Bacteria
Description: partial 16S ribosomal RNA
Rfam family: Bacterial small subunit ribosomal RNA
Source: RNAcentral
CAGCAGCCACGGUAAUACGAAGGGUGCAAGCGUUACUCGGAAUUACUGGGCGUAAAGCGUGCGUAGGUGGUGGUUUAAGUCCGUUGUGAAAGCCCUGGGCUCAACCUGGGAAUUGCAGUGGAUACUGGGUCACUAGAGUGUGGUAGAGGAUAGUGGAAUUUCCGGUGUAGCAGUGAAAUGCGUAGAGAUCGGAAGGAACAUCUGUGGCGAAGGCGACUAUCUGGGCCAACACUGACACUGAGGCACGAAAGCGUGGGGAGCAAACAGGAUUAGAUACCCCCGAGUCCCUGUCUCUUAUACA